This 253-nucleotide ribosomal RNA is filed under the name uncultured bacterium. Its description in RNAcentral is "partial 16S ribosomal RNA". It matches the Rfam family "Bacterial small subunit ribosomal RNA", at positions 524 to 776 of the family's 1533-position model. The record is from RNAcentral.
UACGGGGGGGGUAAGCGUUGUUCGGAAUUACUGGGCGUAAAGGGCUCGUAGGCGGCCAACUAAGUCAGACGUGAAAUCCCUCAGCUUAACUGGGGAACUGCGUCUGAUACUGGAUGGCUUGGAUUCGGGAGAGGAAUGCGGAAUUCCAGGUGUAGCGGUGAAAUGCGCAGAUAUCAGGAGGAACACCGAUGGCGAAGGCAGGUCUCUGGGCAUUAACUGACGCUGAGGAGCGAAAGCAUGGGGAGCGAACGGG